RNAcentral lists this ribosomal RNA (443 nucleotides) under uncultured bacterium. RNAcentral describes it as "partial 16S ribosomal RNA". It matches the Rfam family "Bacterial small subunit ribosomal RNA", at positions 338 to 795 of the family's 1533-position model. The record is from RNAcentral.
CCUACGGGAGGCAGCAGUGGGGAAUAUUGCGCAAUGGGGGCAACCCUGACGCAGCAACGCCGCGUGAUUGAAGAAGGCCUUCGGGUUGUAAAGAUCUUUAAUCAGGGACGAAGCAAGUGACGGUACCUGAUGAAUAAGCCACGGCUAACUACGUGCCAGCAGCCGCGGUAAUACGUAGGUGGCAAGCGUUAUCCGGAUUUACUGGGUGUAAAGGGCGUGUAGGCGGGAGUGCAAGUCAGAUGUGAAAACUAUGGGCUCAACCCAUAGCCUGCAUUUGAAACUGUACUUCUUGAGUGCUGGAGAGGCAAUCGGAAUUCCGGGUGUAGCGGUGAAAUGCGUAGAUAUACGGAGGAACACCAGUGGCGAAGGCGGAUUGCUGGACAGUAACUGACGCUGAGGCGCGAAAGCGUGGGGAGCAAACAGGAUUAGAUACCCCGGUAGUC